UCAUGCUCUUCAGUGACAUUGUGCAUAGGUCACCAUUAGUAAAAUCCCUGUAGUGAGAACAAAAAAAACUAAUGCCAUGGUAUUAGAAUAUGUUUACUUGCCUUUUAUGGUACAAACUAAAUUAGGAGAGGGUUAACCAUCCUAGGGGAGCCUAUAUUUAGUUUGGAAAUAACAUUUGUCAUUCUGUCAGUGUUUUUUCGCUUGGCCCUAUAUGUUUUGAAACGUAAAUUCUUCAUGGACAAAAGGGGCCCAAACAAUUGAGAAAACGGUCCUUACCUAGUUUAUCUUGUCUGUCAUUGUUUGGGAUUCUAUUCCUUUUGAUACAUUGUUCUGUUCAUGUCUCGUUUAGGUUCUGUUACAUCUUAGUUCUUUGUAUUUAAAAGUUAUCCACUGUGCAGUGUCCUUGCCUCCUACACACAACGUUCCAAUGACAAGCUGUGUCUUUUGACGCGACUACUUCAUUUUUUUGUCAUGUAUUUAAUGUUUUCAGCAUCUUAGGGCAUAUAGCAAGUGAAAUGUGGCCAACAGAGUUCGUCAUUUGGACCAGUAUGUUCUUUGAAACAGUGAAUGCCGUAUGGGCAAAACUGCUAAAGCAAUCAAGUAAAACUGCAAUAUUAUAUCAUAAUAAGCACCCUAAUUGCAAGCGAGAUCUAGCAAGGAAGCUAAUCUCACAUUUUCUGCAAUUUACAACAAAUCCAAAAUCUCACCGAACAUGAAUUACGUUUCCUAUUUAAUCAACCCAUAUUGUCAAAUUAAAAUCAAGUUGGAUGAAACAAUGGAUACAAAAAGACACACCCAUUCAUGUGUGCAUCAACACAAUAACUGGUCGAACAUUCGGACUCCCUCCCUUUUCGAAUGUUCUUGCUAUCAGGCAAAUGUUACUAAACAUGAGAGGCAAAUGUUCAUAACAUCAUAUAGGGCUUGUUGUGGACAGGCCGUCUCCUCUUCACACACUAAUCUUCCCACCGAGACACCAUUCUAUGUCCUAUGUCAGAUCCUCCUGACCAUGUGUCUGUCUUUGAGGAGAAAUGGAAGUGUCUUGCCAGACCUGAACACUGAGCCCAGACAGACAGCCUAAAUCCCACACACUACCCAGGAGAUGACCCACGUCACUGACAGGGCCUUGCAACUCUUUGGCCGACUUCACAAAGAACAAAAGGCUACCAGAUAUAAAGCAGCUCUUCCUGAAUAUCACAGACAAUCCACAACACAGAAUACCAGGGAUCUCCAACCAAAGAAAUGGAAUUACACUUCUAUUCCUCCAGUCCAUGAGAACUGACAGGGUGAAGCCACAAGUCCCUUUGCCCUAGAAGACUUGAGACCUGGAAAGCGAUGUUGUGCGACGGACAGACAGACACUUGCGCAGACGGACAAAAGCUCUCUCAUCAGACUGGCGAUGAACUCGGCUUGUAUCAUUCACCUUAACCUGACGGAGAGGUUCUAAUAAACACAUACGCCCUCCGGAGAUGGAUUACAGUUUCUUAGCGGAAAAGGAGAGUGGACCUAUCAAUUAUUUCAUUUGUAUCAAAACAAUCAGUGUUUUGAGAAAAUAUUAUUUAAAAUAUCAGAGAGUUUUAUUGGUUUGAGGAAAUGUUUUUCUGUGCAGCUAUGGGUCUUCUAUAAUUGAGUUUACAGCCCUCUCCUCAGGCCUCCCCAGACCAUUCAUAUUCCCAUGAGGAAAAAGUUUGGAGACCAGCUCUGUGAGGUAUUACGGAUGACAGUAUGAGUACGGGACAAAAUCACGGCCCAGACAUUCUGAUAUUUGUCAUGUCUACCACACUGCAACACAUGGCCUUGUAAGGUUUUACUGGUAUGCCCUCUACACCAGGGAUGGAACUGAACCAAACAGCCGAGGAAAAUGCAAUUUUCUAGUAGUCAAGGAAAGUGUGGCAAUAUAUUCAGCUACUAAUUCAAGGUAGCAAGUCAAGUAGUGUUUGCGAAGAUCUUGGUUGAUGUACUGUAAGGUCUGCCUACGUUAAUGUUGUUACACCCAUCAACCAUCUGUCACAACAAGUGUACAAUGAACCUGGUUUGUACACAUUCAUUUAGGAAUCCGCCUCUGUAAAUUUCAUACAAGAGCAUUUUUGUCCAAGUUCACUCUGCUCUAUUACCUUUGAACGUGAGCAAAGGGAAGCCAGAUAUUACAGAGAGGAGAAGACAGAGUUGAGGAAAUAUAAUUGAUUUUAAACACUAUGACUCAACCAAGAUUGCCCUGGCAGGCAUAAAACAAGGUUUUUGAAAAAAAACAAUAAAAAUAGGUGAACGCAGUUUCAUUACUCAUGAAUGAAAUCAAAUGUUGAUUGUAUAAAUCAAAUAUACUGGGGUCUGUAAAAAUAUACAAUAUCUGUAUGUAAAACAUUUACACCAAAAUGUUAGACAACUUGUGUGAGGUGUGUUAACAAAUGUUCUGGU
Molecule: long non-coding RNA, 2412 nt
Organism: Esox lucius (northern pike)
Lineage: Eukaryota; Metazoa; Chordata; Actinopteri; Esociformes; Esocidae
Source: Ensembl